UACGGGGGGAGCAAGCGUUGUUCGGAAUCACUGGGCGUAAAGCGCGUGUAGGCGGAUCGCUAAGUCUGUGGUGAAAGCGCCUGGCUUAACCGGGCGAGGUCCAUGGAAACUAGCGGUCUGGAGGCCGGUAGAGGGGGGUGGAAUUCCGGGUGUAGUGGUGAAAUGCGUAGAGAUCCGGAGGAACACCAGUGGCGAAGGCGGCCCCCUGGGCCGCGCCUGACGCUGAGACGCGAAAGCGUGGGGAGCGAACAGG
RNAcentral lists this ribosomal RNA (253 nucleotides) under uncultured bacterium. Its description in RNAcentral is "partial 16S ribosomal RNA". It matches the Rfam family "Bacterial small subunit ribosomal RNA", at positions 524 to 776 of the family's 1533-position model. The record is from RNAcentral.